Molecule: long non-coding RNA, 1309 nt
Organism: Halichondria panicea
Lineage: Eukaryota; Metazoa; Porifera; Demospongiae; Suberitida; Halichondriidae
Exons: 3
Source: RefSeq, a predicted model, not a curated record
UGACUGAGUGAAAGCUUAAAGAGUCUAUCUUCCUGUAAGUGAUGCCUCUUGGAGGGCACUACUCUGAACCUGCGGCCAUCGUGCUUUGUCUGCAUCACCAUGAACCCAGGUUAUGCUGGCCGCUCUGAACUACCAGACGGUGUUGUUUCAUACAGUGGCCAUAAUGCAUGGUGCCAGACUAUGCCAUGAUUGGAGAGAUCUCUCUCUACUCUUAUGGUUUUGUGGAUGCUCGUAAUCUGGCCGUCAAGAUUGUCAUGACCUAUCGACUGUGUUCAGAGCAACUCUCCAGCCAGCUCCAUUAUGACUACGGUGUGAGUGUGUGGUGCACUUUGACCCCUGCUAGCCGGUGCUAGUGGGGCCGGGGGAGGGGAAAAUGAGGUACAUAAGAGUUCCAAUAAAGAAGCAUCACUGGGCAAAGAGUCACAUGACCUCUCUCUGGGCUGGAGGUAGUUUCAGACCACACCCAUUUCCUGUUUUGAGGAGUACAACAGUGAUAAGGCGUGGGUUCAAUCAUAGAUUGAAGAGUUAGAGGGAUAGGAAACGGUUGGUAUCUCGAGUAACAUCCGCGCUACGCUGCGGUUUAAUCGAGGCCAUCACAACAAUAUCUAUUUCUACACUCAGUGCAUAAUAAACUACAAGUAACUGUGCUUAGUCCGUGCAACUCACUUAUAUUUCAAGGUCUAUACCUAUUGUAGUAGUCAUAACCAGCACGCUUACACGUUACAUGUUCCAAUAGCUCUAAAACAGCCUUGGGAACAUAUAACUUUAUUGGAAUUUCUCUUUUUACUGGGUGUGGUCAGUCAUUAGCAAGUACUACACGUGGCUCAUGGACUAGGCGUGUUAUAAGUUGCUGAAAGAGAUGAUGUCUCGAGGAAACACAGCUUUGGGAGUUACCCGGCAAAAAUGUGGUUAAUAGCCUCGUUCAUAGGGCGUAGCGCGGAUAAUUUUCGAGGCUCCACUGCAGAUUCAAUGUAAAAUCAUCACGUGCACCACUCCGUUUCCUAUCCCUCUAACUCUUCAAUCUAUGGUUCAAUUCCCUCUAGGGGGACUUUCUUUACAAAUCAGUUACAUGUAGUAAUUUCCCUAAAUUUUGAAGUCAUCAUUAUUCCUUCUCAAGUACAUACAAGUUGGGGUUACUGUGAAAUAAAGUUUCUACUUACCCUUUUUUGGUAGAUUGGUAGGUUGUGAUAGACGUAGAUGUUUUAGAUUUUAAAAUAGACUUUCCAUUUGGAAUUAAUUGUCCCAAGUAGAGUUUCAACUCUACUUGGGACAAUUAAUUUGAUAAAAGUGAAUUAUCAACCUCUCCCCU